RNAcentral lists this ribosomal RNA (500 nucleotides) under uncultured Chrysophyceae. RNAcentral's name for it is "SSU rRNA". It matches the Rfam family "Eukaryotic small subunit ribosomal RNA", at positions 451 to 953 of the family's 1831-position model. The record is from RNAcentral. Lineage: Eukaryota; Chrysophyceae.
CUGACACAGGGAGGUAGUGACAAUAAAUAACAAUGCCGGGCUUUUCAAAGUCUGGCAAUUGGAAUGAGAACAAUUUAAAUCCCUUAUCGAGGAUCAAUUGGAGGGCAAGUCUGGUGCCAGCAGCCGCGGUAAUUCCAGCUCCAAUAGCGUAUACUAAAGUUGUUGCAGUUAAAAAGCUCGUAGUUGAAUUUCUGGUCGUGAAACGUGGUCCGUUCCGCAAGGAAUGUGUACUGUCGAUUUAUGUCCAUCCUCGGUGUUAGUAUGCAUUACUUUAAUCGGUCGUGUAUACAACCACCGUCAUUUACUGUGAGCAAAAUAGAGUGUUCAAAGCAGGCUUAUGCCGUUGAAUAUAUUAGCAUGGAAUAAUAAGAUAUGACUUUGGUCUAUUUUGUUGGUUUGCACUCCAAAGUAAUGAUUAAUAGGGAUAGUUGGGGGUAUUCGUAUUCAAUUGUCAGAGGUGAAAUUCUUGGAUUUAUGGAAGACGAACUACUGCGAAAGCA